CAGAAAGGAAAAAAAGCUCAAAUGAGUGAGAAGGACGAUGAAGGAAACAUCUGUGCUGUGUCUGCUCUACCUUGGUGGAUCUGCAGGGAGAACUGAGGACGCCAGUUAUGGAUGAAUCAUCAACAAAUCAUCAUCAGAGACAAGAGACACAGUCAAAGAAAGCCACAGACUCCAACAAAGAGGACGGCUGUACUUGGUGUCAGUGACAGAAAUGAGAAAAAGCUGAAAUGAGUGAGAAGGACGAUGAAGGAAACAUCUGUGCUGUGUCUGCUCUAUGCAGCUGCAGUCUGCUCAGCAGUGAGAACUGAAGACGUCAGUCAAAGAGAAGGAAAAACAGUCAGAGCUGAGAGAGUUUCUACCAGAGCCAAAUGUCAUCGACUCCUCACUGAAGUCGUCCACCAGUCCAACCACUGGAAUCCAGCUGCUGCUCUCUAACUGGUCCACACAGCAGCUCAGAGCUGACACAUUCACUGUAAACACACUGGUUUAUAUUCUGUUUGUUCUCCUCAUGAAGGAAACCUCACACAACCACUGAGGGCAGAAAGUUCAAAUGGAGAGGCAUUUUUCUUUCUUUUAUAAAGAAGCAGUAGAAGAGUGGUACCAUAAUUUUUUUUAUUUAUCUUUCAUACUUAAAAGACAAUUCUUCACCAGGCCUUUCAGAAUAAAAGCAUGACCAAGACAUCAUAUAUACAUAAACAAUAAUAAAUCUUAUGUAACUACAAUGUAGGUGUAAUCCAUGUUUUCAUGUCUUCAGUAACUUUGCUGUUAUUUAUGUUAUUUCUAAGUGUGCUGUCGUCUCCACAGCAGUGAUCUGGUUUCUCUGCAGGUUCAAUAAACUUUGGUCUGACUUGA
Molecule: long non-coding RNA, 852 nt
Organism: Oreochromis niloticus (Nile tilapia)
Lineage: Eukaryota; Metazoa; Chordata; Actinopteri; Cichliformes; Cichlidae
Exons: 5
Source: RefSeq, a predicted model, not a curated record